This 434-nucleotide ribosomal RNA is filed under the name uncultured bacterium. Its description in RNAcentral is "bacterial SSU rRNA". It matches the Rfam family "Bacterial small subunit ribosomal RNA", at positions 30 to 465 of the family's 1533-position model. The record is from RNAcentral.
AUUGAACGCUGGCGGCAUGCCUUACACAUGCAAGUCGAACGGCAGCACGGGAGCAAUCCUGGUGGCGAGUGGCGAACGGGUGAGUAAUAUAUCGGAACGUGCCCAGUCGUGGGGAUAACGUAGCGAAAGCUACGCUAAUACCGCAUACGAUCUAUGGAUGAAAGCGGGGGAUCGCAAGACCUCGCGCGAUUGGAGCGGCCGAUAUCAGAUUAGGUAGUUGGUGAGGUAAAGGCUCACCAAGCCGACGAUCUGUAGCUGGUCUGAGAGGACGACCAGCCACACUGGGACUGAGACACGGCCCAGACUCCUACGGGAGGCAGCAGUGGGGAAUUUUGGACAAUGGGCGCAAGCCUGAUCCAGCAAUGCCGCGUGCAGGAUGAAGGCCUUCGGGUUGUAACUAGCUUUGUACGGAACGAAACGGUGAGCUCUAAUAC